GAAGAGAAACAGAGCUUGUGACCAGUCAAAUGGACAUAGGCUGAGAUAUCUGACUGCAGGAAUGAGAGUUAGACCACACAGGGAUUUCCUAGUUAGACAAUCUCAGCUGAGGACAUAGCCUUUCCUGAAUUCUCUUACGUCUUGAAUAACGCUGGAUGUUUAAUGGUGGAGCACUCAACAGAAAACCAAGACCUAGAAGUGAACACAAAUUUUCUCUGUGUGUGCUCCUGUCUAAAAGAAGAGGAAACUCUGGUAGAUGUAUGGCUAGAAAAUAUGAAGAGGACUCUCAGGAUGCUAUUUGUCCCCAUGAAGAUAUUGGAGAGGGGUUAUGAUAGCAAAGAUUA
Athene cunicularia (burrowing owl) is the source of this 344-nucleotide long non-coding RNA. RefSeq lists it as uncharacterized. Lineage: Eukaryota; Metazoa; Chordata; Aves; Strigiformes; Strigidae. The record is from RefSeq and is a predicted model, not a curated record. The transcript is spliced from 3 exons.